CCGUUGUUGGUCGAGUCGAGGAGGUCGAGCUCAUAUACGGGCUUCUGCCAGUACAGAGGCCGCGCUGUGCCUGCGCAGUAAUCACAGAUCAGACACAAUGACACUCGUGUGUUACCGAUUCUGCGUUUGAUCGAAGGUGAUGCCUUUCCGUAACAGAGGGACCUGGACUGGACCACCGGAACCGAGAUAGUGCAGAGUGAAGGAGUCUGGGAGAACAGACGAGAGCAGGGGGCAGUAGCUCACCUCAGGAACAGUCCACCAUCCUUCUGAGCUUCUGGUCCCUCCAGUUCCAGUCCAGAACCACGUAUCUCAACGCCUGCAAGCUCAAGCCCUCUGGACAAAAAAAACAAGAGUUUCCAA
Molecule: long non-coding RNA, 360 nt
Organism: Cottoperca gobio
Lineage: Eukaryota; Metazoa; Chordata; Actinopteri; Perciformes; Bovichtidae
Exons: 3
Source: RefSeq, a predicted model, not a curated record